Molecule: ribosomal RNA, 66 nt
Filed under: Pseudomonas lini
Lineage: Bacteria; Pseudomonadati; Pseudomonadota; Gammaproteobacteria; Pseudomonadales; Pseudomonadaceae
Also listed under: 3 other names
Description: partial 16S ribosomal RNA
Rfam family: Bacterial small subunit ribosomal RNA
Source: RNAcentral
GACUGGGGUGAAGUCGUAACAAGGUAGCCGUAGGGGAACCUGCGGCUGGAUCACCUCCUUAAUCGA